CAGGUUAGUUUUACCCUACUGUU
This 23-nucleotide unclassified non-coding RNA is filed under the name Dictyostelium discoideum. The record is from RNAcentral. Lineage: Eukaryota; Evosea; Eumycetozoa; Dictyosteliales; Dictyosteliaceae.